CCUACGGGAGGCAGCAGUGGGGAAUAUUGCACAAUGGGGGAAACCCUGAUGCAGCGACGCCGCGUGAGUGAAGAAGUAAUUCGUUAUGUAAAGCUCUAUCAGCAGGGAAGAAAAUGACGGUACCUGAGCAAGAAGCCCCGGCUAACUACGUGCCAGCAGCCGCGGUAAUACGUAGGGGGCAAGCGUUAUCCGGAUUUACUGGGUGUAAAGGGAGCGUAGACGGCAGUGCAAGUCUGGAGUGAAAGGGGGGGGCUCAACCCCCGGACUGCUCUGGAAACUGUACGGCUGGAGUGCAGGAGAGGUAAGUGGAAUUACUAGUGUAGCGGUGAAAUGCGUAGAUAUUAGGAGGAACACCAGUGGCGAAGGCGGCUUACUGGACUGUAACUGACGUUGAGGCUCGAAAGCGUGGGGAGCAAACAGGAUUAGAUACCCCAGUAGUC
This 440-nucleotide ribosomal RNA is filed under the name uncultured bacterium. RNAcentral describes it as "partial 16S ribosomal RNA". It matches the Rfam family "Bacterial small subunit ribosomal RNA", at positions 338 to 795 of the family's 1533-position model. The record is from RNAcentral.